GGGCGGUUAGCUCAGCCGGUAGAGCGCCUGCUUUACGCGCAGGAUGUCGCAGGUUCGAGUCCUGCACCGCCCA
RNAcentral lists this transfer RNA (73 nucleotides) under Actinomycetes bacterium. RNAcentral describes it as "Actinobacteria bacterium tRNA-Val". It matches the Rfam family "tRNA". Rfam says of the family: Transfer RNA (tRNA) molecules are approximately 80 nucleotides in length. Their secondary structure includes four short double-helical elements and three loops (D, anti-codon, and T loops). Further hydrogen bonds mediate the characteristic L-shaped molecular structure. tRNAs have two regions of fundamental functional importance: the anti-codon, which is responsible for specific mRNA codon recognition, and the 3' end, to which the tRNAs corresponding amino acid is attached (by aminoacyl-tRNA synthetases). tRNAs cope with the degeneracy of the genetic code in two manners: having more than one tRNA (with a specific anti-codon) for a particular amino acid; and 'wobble' base-pairing, i.e. permitting non-standard base-pairing at the 3rd anti-codon position. The record is from RNAcentral. Lineage: Bacteria; Bacillati; Actinomycetota; Actinomycetes.